RNAcentral lists this transfer RNA (73 nucleotides) under Toxorhamphus novaeguineae. Its description in RNAcentral is "tRNA-Asn". It matches the Rfam family "tRNA". From Rfam's summary of the family: Transfer RNA (tRNA) molecules are approximately 80 nucleotides in length. Their secondary structure includes four short double-helical elements and three loops (D, anti-codon, and T loops). Further hydrogen bonds mediate the characteristic L-shaped molecular structure. tRNAs have two regions of fundamental functional importance: the anti-codon, which is responsible for specific mRNA codon recognition, and the 3' end, to which the tRNAs corresponding amino acid is attached (by aminoacyl-tRNA synthetases). tRNAs cope with the degeneracy of the genetic code in two manners: having more than one tRNA (with a specific anti-codon) for a particular amino acid; and 'wobble' base-pairing, i.e. permitting non-standard base-pairing at the 3rd anti-codon position. The record is from RNAcentral. Lineage: Eukaryota; Metazoa; Chordata; Aves; Passeriformes; Melanocharitidae.
UAGGCAGAAGCUCGUUGGUUUGAGCAUAUAGCUGUUAACUGUAGUAUCGCGGGAUCGAAGCCCGUCUGUCUAG